This 348-nucleotide transfer-messenger RNA is filed under the name bovine gut metagenome. It matches the Rfam family "transfer-messenger RNA". Rfam says of the family: Bacterial tmRNA, also known as 10Sa RNA or SsrA, is named for its dual tRNA and mRNA-like properties. The record is from RNAcentral.
GGGGGCGUAAAGGUUUCGACAGGGAUUUUGAAGUAUCGGAAGCGAGCAGCGGUGCGGAACCGCUUUAAAAUCCGCAACUGAAAAAUAACUGACAACAAUAAAGUUGCCUUAGCUGCCUGAUUCAGGCGGCUCAUCCGACCCGGUACUACCGCGAACCGGUAAGGGUGUCAUUUUAGCGGUGAACAUGAACGCGAAGUCGCUUCACUUCGCGUCACGAAGCAGAAGCUACCAAGCAUGUCAGCCCGGCAUUUGGCGGUCGUGUAAGGGAAUGUAAACAGAUGCCUGCGCUCGGAGAUGCCGGUAUGAAUGAAUUUUUGGACGGGAGUUCGACUCUCCCCGCCUCCACCA